Molecule: ribosomal RNA, 406 nt
Filed under: uncultured bacterium
Lineage: Bacteria
Description: partial 16S ribosomal RNA
Rfam family: Bacterial small subunit ribosomal RNA
Source: RNAcentral
AUUGAACGCUGGCGGCAGGCCUAACACAUGCAAGUCGAGCGAGCGGCGGACGGGUGAGUAAUGUAUGGGGAUCUGCCCGAUGGAGGGGGAUAACUACUGGAAACGGUAGCUAAUACCGCAUACUAUCAGAUGAGCCCAUAUGGGAUUAGCGAGUAGGUGGGGUAAUGGCUAACCUAGGCGACGAUCCCUAGCUGGUCUGAGAGGAUGACCAGCCACACUGGAACUGAGACACGGACCAGACUCCUACGGGAGGAAGCAGUGGGGAAUAUUGCACAAUGGGCGCAAGCCUGAUGCAGCCAGGCCGCGUGUGUGAAGAAGGCCUUAGGGUUGUAAAGCACUUUCAGCGGGGAGGCGUUACCCGCAGAAGAAGCACCGGCUAACUCCGUGCCAGCAGCCGCGGUAAUAC